GAGUUUUAUUCUUGCUUAAUUUAUUUGCUUUUAAAUUAUUUUAUAUGUAAAUUUUUGUGUAAUAUUAAUUUAAUUAUCUGAAUGUUAAUUAAUCUUUAAUUUAUUUAUUCGCAGUAAUAAGUUUUACUAAUUUGUGGAAAUAUUGAUUUGGUAAUUUUAAUUUAUUAUUGGUAAAUUUUGUGCCAGCAUCCGCGGUUAUACAAUUGAUAUAAGUAAAUAUUUUUGGUUACAGUAGUUAAAUUUUAACUUGAGGUUAUUUUUAUUUUUUUAGGUGAAAUUUUAAUAUUUAUUAUUGCUUUAUUUUUUUUUGAAACUAUUAAAUCCUUUAUUUAAACUAGGAUUAGAUACCCUAUUAUUUUGGAUAUAAAUUAUUUUAACUUAGGUAGUAUUAGAUAAGGUCUUGAAACUUAAAGAAUUUGGCGGUAUUUUAGUCUUUUUAGAGGAAUCUGUUCCUUAAUCGAUAAUCCACGUUGAACCUUACCAAGUUUUUUAUAUGUAUACCGCCGUUAUAAUGAAAAUCUUUUUAGGGUUAAUUAAUUUUCUAUAUUUGUUUUAAAGCUUAUUUCAGGUCAAGGUGCAGUUUAUAAUUUGGUGGAUAUGGAUUACAUUUAUAUUUAUUAUUGAAUUAUUAAUUGAAAUUUUUUUAUGAAAUUGGAUUUAAUUGUAAUUUUUUGUAGAUUGUUUAAAUGAUUUAGCUCUAAAAUAUGUACACAUCGCCCGUCACUCUCAUUUUUAAUUGAGAUAAGUCGUAACAUAGUGGUUGUACCGGAAGGUGUAGCUGGAAUGUAUUUUAAUA
RNAcentral lists this non-coding RNA (796 nucleotides) under Tenumembrana ceylonica. The record is from RNAcentral. Lineage: Eukaryota; Metazoa; Arthropoda; Insecta; Blattodea; Blattidae.